AGUGAACGCUGGCGGUAGGCCUAACACAUGCAAGUCGAACGGCAGCACAGUAAGCGCUUGCUCUUACGGGUGGCGAGUGGCGGACGGGUGAGGAAUACAUCGGAAUCUACUUUUUCGUGGGGGAUAACGUAGGGAAACUUACGCUAAUACCGCAUACGACCUACGGGUGAAAGCAGGGGAGCUUCGGACCUUGCGCGAUUGAAUGAGCCGAUGUCGGAUUAGCUAGUUGGCGGGGUAAAGGCCCACCAAGCCGACGAUCCGUAGCUGGUCUGAGAGGAUGAUCAGCAACACUGGAACUGAGACACGGUCCAGACUCCUAGGGGAGGCAGCAGUGGGGAAUAUUGGACAAUGGGCGCAAGCCUGAUCCAGCCAUACCGCGUGGGUGAAGAAGGCCUUCGGGUUGUAAAGCCCUUUUGUUGGGAAAGAAAAGCAGCAGGGUAAUACCCCGCUGUUCUGACGGUACCCAAAGAAUAAGCAACGGCUAACUUCGUG
This 492-nucleotide ribosomal RNA is filed under the name uncultured bacterium. RNAcentral describes it as "partial 16S ribosomal RNA". It matches the Rfam family "Bacterial small subunit ribosomal RNA", at positions 29 to 507 of the family's 1533-position model. The record is from RNAcentral.